This 1042-nucleotide long non-coding RNA is filed under the name Gouania willdenowi (blunt-snouted clingfish). RNAcentral's name for it is "lncRNA (ENSGWIG00000015773.1)". The record is from RNAcentral. Lineage: Eukaryota; Metazoa; Chordata; Actinopteri; Blenniiformes; Gobiesocidae.
UGGUAAUGGCCUGAGAACAGCGAGAGCCAACCUGUCCCGUGGCAUCAGGAAAGCAAAACAGGACUACACAAAAAAGAUAACCUGCCAUUUCAAUGAUAGCAGAGACACGCGGAGCCUGUGGCAGGGCAUCCAGACCAUCACGGACUACAAGCCCGCGCCACAGAUCUGCGACGACAAUCUCUCUGCUCAACAACCUCAACAGCUUCUGCACGGUUUGAUGCAACAAACAAACAAACACAGAAAAACUCAACCCCCAACCACCCCCACCCCAACCCCCCCCCCCCCCCCCCCCCCCCCCCCCCCCCCCCCCCCCCCCCCCCCCCCCCCCCCCCCCCCCACGACCAGGCUCUGUGCCUAUCUGAUGCCAGUGUGAAGAGGACACUCUCCAGUAUCAACCCCCGCAAAGCAACAGGCCCUGACAACAUUCCAGGCCGUGUGCUGAAGGACUGCGCAGAGGAGCUUAAGGAUGUCUUCACGGAUGUCUUUAACACUUCUCUGGAACAAGCUGCUGUUCCAUCCCUUUUUAAGGCCACUAUCAUCAUACCUGUGCCAAAGAAACCUGCUCCAUCUUGCUUCAAUGACUAUCGCCCUGUGGCACUGACCUCCAUCAUCAUGAAGUGCUUUGAACGGCUAGUCAUGUCUCACAUCAAGUCCAUCCUCCCCCCCACCCUGGACCCCUUUCAGUUUGCAUACCGAGCAAAACGCUCCACAGAGGAUGCAAUCUGCUCUGCUCUCCACCCAGCCCUUACCCACCUGGACACAACGGACUCAUAUGUGAGAAUGCUGUUCAUAGACUUCAGUUCGGCAUUCAACACCAUAAUUCCACAACAACUCAUCUGUAAACUGGACCUGCUGGGGCUCAACACCUCCCUUUGCAACUGGCUGCUGGACUUCCUCAGUGAGAGGCCACAAGCAGUACGAGUCGGCAGCAACACCUCGAGCAGCAUCACACUCAGCACAGGGGCCCCCCAAGGCUGUGUGCUUAGUCCCCUGCUCUUCACCCUACUGACUCACGACUGCACACCAACCUACAGCUCCAACC